GGUUACUUUCUGCACCAGUGUGUCUUCCCAACGUUCACUUAUUUGAUCAUGUCAACCAAAGAACAAGCAGACACCUGGUGUCACAUAAGAACUACGUCUAUUAGUUGACAUGUGAACGCGGGUGGGCGAGAGACAGGAAGUGACUCAUUCAGCAAGGUUUCGGAGUUUGCUCUUCUUGAAAUUAAGCGCAGAGUUUCAAUAGAUGUGCUCAGCAUCUUGGAAUCAGUAGAGUCCGCUUAUAUUUCUGAAAUCUCCAUUUAAUCGUCAGCAUCUAUUUGCUGUCCUCCCAGCAGUACAAGCGCUACAUCUGAGAGGAGAGAGCCUGCUGUUCACUGUGCGACGAGAUGCCAUUCAGACUGACGAAGCAGGAGGGCAUUCCUGGCUGAUUGGAAACAAGGCAGCAAAUUGUGACUUUCCCACCACGUUCAGCAGCAUCAGCAACGUACAAGUCCACACAGGCUUUGACUGCACAGCAAGCUUCGAAAAAUGUUUGUCACCAGAGCAAGCUAACUCUUCCAGCUCGUGACAACAAGAGGUUAGUUCGAUGAAAACAUUGCAGCUGUUGAAAAAAUUGAUUUUUUUGAAAUUUCUGGUUGAGAAAAAAUGUUUUUUACUGCAUCAUGAUUAUUUUUCCUUGGCUUCCUUGAUGUACCACCCAUAGCCCAAACCAAGUAUUUUAUUUAAGAUCCAAAUGUUUAUUUAGACACCUCCCUGGUUUCAGUGAUUAAGACUCCUUGCUUCCAAUGCAGGAGGCCUGGGCUCAAUCCCUGGUCAGGGAGCUAUGCCCCACAAGCCAUAUCUAAGAUCCAGCGCAGCCAAAUAAAUUAGUAAGUAAAUUAAAAAAUAAAUGUUUAUUUGCUUAUCUAAUUCUUGGCCAUAGACUCAAUUUCUACAUCAUCCUGGUCAGGAUUCUGUGUGGAUCCUAGGCAUGUUUCCUGUAAAUUAUCCCCAACUUCCAAAAAGCCUAUAAAAACACAAAGAUACCUAUCCAAACAAUCUCCUAUUCUUCAUAGCUGGAACACCCGGGAUAAUGAAUAAAUGUGUCAUUCAUUUAUUCCAUUCAUUCAUUCCAAGACACAGCUGUUGCAAAACCAGCAUAGAACUAAGCUUAAUUUUAGUCUUUGCCCUCAAGAGUCCCAGAAUUUCAUUAGUGACACCAACAACUUAGUGGGUCUUCUCUAGGUAUCCACCUGCCAAUGCAGGAGACGCAAGAGACUCAGGUCUGAUCCGUGGGUCAGGAAGAUCCCCUGGAGAAGGAAAUAGCAACCCACUCAAGUAUU
Molecule: long non-coding RNA, 1280 nt
Filed under: Capra hircus (goat)
Lineage: Eukaryota; Metazoa; Chordata; Mammalia; Artiodactyla; Bovidae
Description: lncRNA (ENSCHIG00010012467.1)
Source: RNAcentral